RNAcentral lists this ribosomal RNA (601 nucleotides) under uncultured Actinomycetes bacterium. RNAcentral's name for it is "bacterial SSU rRNA". It matches the Rfam family "Bacterial small subunit ribosomal RNA", at positions 833 to 1437 of the family's 1533-position model. The record is from RNAcentral. Lineage: Bacteria; Bacillati; Actinomycetota; Actinomycetes.
ACGGGUUUGUGCGACGCAGCUAACGCAUUAAGCGCCCCGCCUGGGGAGUACGAUCGCAAGAUUAAAACUCAAAGGAAUUGACGGGGCCCCGCACAAGCAGCGGAGCAUGCGGCUUAAUUCGACGCAACGCGAAGAACCUUACCAAGGCUUGACAUAUACAGGAAUACGGCAGAGAUGUCGUAGCCGCAAGGUCUGUAUACAGGUGGUGCAUGGUUGUCGUCAGCUCGUGUCGUGAGAUGUUGGGUUAAGUCCCGCAACGAGCGCAACCCUCGUUCUGUGUUGCCAGUAUUUAGUUGGGGACUCACAGGAGACUGCCGGGGUUAACUCGGAGGAAGGUGGGGAUGACGUCAAAUCAUCAUGCCCCUUAUGUCUUGGGCUGCACGCAUGCUACAAUGGCUGGUACAAACGGCUGCGAUACCGCAAGGUGGAGCGAAUCCGAGAAAGCCAGUCUCAGUUCGGAUUGGGGUCUGCAACUCGACCCCAUGAAGUCGGAGUUGCUAGUAAUCGUAGAUCAGCAACGCUACGGUGAAUACGUUCCCGGGGCUUGUACACACCGCCCGUCACAUCACGAAAGUCGGUAACACCCAAAGUCAGUGCCCAA